Parasteatoda tepidariorum (common house spider) is the source of this 400-nucleotide non-coding RNA. NCBI's taxonomy places the organism in Eukaryota, Metazoa, Arthropoda, Arachnida, Araneae, Theridiidae. The record is from RefSeq and is a predicted model, not a curated record.
GGGAGAAAAGUAUCGAGUAAACGUUCACACUAUUUUUUUUUAAAAAACCAAACAAUGUUAACGCGUAAGAAUAUUGCUUAAAAAUGUUACCUCUUAUAAUUCAGCUCACCCUAUGCUCCAAAUAACUGAAUUUUCACAAAAGGGGCGUUUAAACUUUCUUUUUGCUCCUUAUGGGGGCGGCAGCGUUACAAAGGUUGAGAACCUAUGUACUAUACCAUAGUUUAUUGCUUUUGACAUGAAGAAGAGUUAGACAUUCCUCUAUGGGCUGUCGCGCCACUGAGUUCAGUUUUUAGUACAUCGUGUAACAUAUCAUGUAAACAAGAAAAAGAAAAAAAACCGAGAGCAAUAUUAUUUUUUACCAGAUAACGGCCUAAUUGCGAGGACAUUAUGGUCAUGGAUA